RNAcentral lists this long non-coding RNA (648 nucleotides) under Rattus norvegicus (Norway rat). RNAcentral describes it as "long non-coding RNA NONRATT024682". Lineage: Eukaryota; Metazoa; Chordata; Mammalia; Rodentia; Muridae. The record is from RNAcentral.
CACAGCGAGCAGUAUUGCCAACCUGAAAGUCACCUUGUUGUAAGUACAUGCGGUUGCCAAGCUCUGGACUGUCACUUGUGCACUGAGAGAACUGAAGAAUUUCCUGGAGAGUAAAGAGAAGGUUGAAUUAGAGAGCAGCAGUCCAACUUCCAUCGAAGAGGAAGAGAAGACAAACCUGGACUAUGAUAAAGGACUUGAAGCAUUGUGUGAGGAGCUACAGGCCAUCUUGGACGGCUUGGUAAGACCUGAAGCUACUGGCCAUCAACAUCACUGUCUCUCAGCCCAGGGCAGCUGUUUGGGGUUUGCUUGACUGUGGGGGCAUUCAGAAGAGUCGGAGAUCUCUCCUCCCACCUACUUACAAACCCUGAUGCUCUCAAGUCACGUCGGGUACAUACUCCAGCAGUGUCAACUGCUUCAAGGGUCCAGAGUGAAUAUUCAGAUUCUGUGGGCCAGACCAUUUCUAUCACACUGACUUCUUGGUGCUGCUGUGUAACACGAGAGCAGCCAUGGUGUUGUCAGUGUGGGCCUAGCAGUUCCUACUUCAGGCUGUGGUCCGAAUCAACUGCAUUCCUUGUUCAGAUUGUUUGCACUUAGGCAUUGGGAGUUCUUGUCUGAAAUACCGUCUUUCUAGUAAAGCUCCGUUUGGGG